RNAcentral lists this unclassified non-coding RNA (200 nucleotides) under soil metagenome. Its description in RNAcentral is "partial internal transcribed spacer 2". The record is from RNAcentral.
UUAAGUUCAGCGGGUAACCUCGUCUGACAUGAAAUCAAGUUUAUGAGUACGUUGGGCUCGGGGCAUGCAACUCCCAUUCAGAGGCGUGUCCACUACUCUGCGGGUGAAGACUCCACGGCCGACACUUUGCGGGCGGCGGCAGACCUUUCAGCGAGCCGUCCCCAUCACCGAACCGAGUUCGAGUGGAUAAAUGAUGUUCA